This 496-nucleotide ribosomal RNA is filed under the name uncultured bacterium. RNAcentral describes it as "partial 16S ribosomal RNA". It matches the Rfam family "Bacterial small subunit ribosomal RNA", at positions 29 to 507 of the family's 1533-position model. The record is from RNAcentral.
AUGAACGCUGGCGGCGUGCCUCAUGCAUGCAAGUCGCGCGAACAGACGAGGAGCUUGCUCCUUUGACGUUAGCGGCGGACGGGUGAGUAACACGUAGGUAACCUACCUAUAAGACUGGGAUAACUUCGGGAAACCGGAGCUAAUACCGGAUAAUAUUUCGAACCGCAUGGUUCGAUAGUGAAAGAUGGCUUUGCUAUCACUUAUAGAUGGACCUGCGCCGUAUUAGCUAGUUGGUAAGGUAACGGCUUACCAAGGCAACGAUACGUAGCCGACCUGAGAGGGUGAUCGGCCACACUGGAACUGAGACACGGUCCAGACUCCUACGGGAGGCAGCAGUAGGGAAUCUUCCGCAAUGGGCGAAAGCCUGACGGAGCAACGCCGCGUGAGUGAUGAAGGUCUUCGGAUCGUAAAACUCUGUUAUUAGGGAAGAACAAACGUGUAAGUAACUGUGCACGUCUUGACGGUACCUAAUCAGAAAGCCACGGCUAACUACGUG